This 492-nucleotide ribosomal RNA is filed under the name uncultured bacterium. Its description in RNAcentral is "partial 16S ribosomal RNA". It matches the Rfam family "Bacterial small subunit ribosomal RNA", at positions 29 to 507 of the family's 1533-position model. The record is from RNAcentral.
AGUGAACGCUGGCGGUAGGCCUAACACAUGCAAGUCGAACGGCAGCACAGUAAGAGCUUGCUCUUACGGGUGGCGAGUGGCGGACGGGUGAGGAAUACAUCGGAAUCUACUUUUUCGUGGGGGAUAACGUAGGGAAACUUACGCUAAUACCGCAUACGACCUACGGGUGAAAGCAUGGGAUCUUCGGACCUUGCGCGAUUGAAUGAGCCGCUGUCGGAUUAGCUAGUUGGCGGGGUAAAGGCCCACCAAGGCGACGAUCCGUAGCUGGUCUGAGAGGAUGAUCAGCCACGCUGGAACUGAGACACGGUCCUGACUCCUACGGGAGGCAGCAGUGGGGAAUAUUGGACAAUGGGCGGAAGCCUGAUCCAACCAUACCGCGUGGGUGAAGAAGGCCUUCGGGUUGUAAAGCCCUCUUGUUGGGAAAGAAAAGCAGCAGGUUAAUACCCCGCUGUUCUGACGGUACCCAAAGAAUAAGCACCGGCUAACUUCGUG